AGGCUCAGAACGGUUUUUCCACCGCCAUGGUGAUUGUGUACCUGGACAGCGCCAGCGGGCUGCCAAAAAAUCAUCUGGAAUAUUCCAACAAUGACACCGCAGGCAGGAAGCAGAGAUACACCGUGCCCCCCAUGUCUGAAAGGGAACCGUCAUCGUACGUCACCAUGACCAUCGGGAAG
This is a long non-coding RNA of Nanorana parkeri, 179 nucleotides long. RefSeq lists it as uncharacterized. The transcript is spliced from 3 exons. The record is from RefSeq and is a predicted model, not a curated record. Lineage: Eukaryota; Metazoa; Chordata; Amphibia; Anura; Dicroglossidae.